UAGGGUGGUUAUUGCAUUGGGGCUCACCUCUUCCCAUCUCGAACAGAGAAGUUAAGCCCAAUAGCGCCGAUGGUACUGCAUUUAUGUGGGAGAGUAGGUCGCCGCCUUUC
Molecule: non-coding RNA, 110 nt
Organism: Polaribacter sp. Hel1_85
Lineage: Bacteria; Pseudomonadati; Bacteroidota; Flavobacteriia; Flavobacteriales; Flavobacteriaceae
Source: Rfam